Molecule: ribosomal RNA, 465 nt
Filed under: Vreelandella stevensii
Lineage: Bacteria; Pseudomonadati; Pseudomonadota; Gammaproteobacteria; Oceanospirillales; Halomonadaceae
Description: partial 16S ribosomal RNA
Rfam family: Bacterial small subunit ribosomal RNA
Source: RNAcentral
CCUACGGGGGGCAGCAGUGGGGAAUAUUGGACAAUGGGGGCAACCCUGAUCCAGCCAUGCCGCGUGUGUGAAGAAGGCCCCCGGGUUGUAAAGCACUUUCAGUGAGGAAGAACGCCUGGUGGUUAAUACCCAUCAGGAAAGACAUCACUCACAGAAGAAGCACCGGCUAACUCCGUGCCAGCAGCCGCGGUAAUACGGAGGGUGCGAGCGUUAAUCGGAAUUACUGGGCGUAAAGCGCGCGUAGGUGGCUUGAUAAGCCGGUUGUGAAAGCCCCGGGCUCAACCUGGGAACGGCAUCCGGAACUGUCAAGCUAGAGUGCAGGAGAGGAAGGUAGAAUUCCCGGUGUAGCGGUGAAAUGCGUAGAGAUCGGGAGGAAUACCAGUGGCGAAGGCGGCCUUCUGGACUGACACUGACACUGAGGUGCGAAAGCGUGGGUAGCAAACAGGAUUAGAUACCCCUGUAGGC